Molecule: ribosomal RNA, 698 nt
Filed under: Argiope bruennichi
Lineage: Eukaryota; Metazoa; Arthropoda; Arachnida; Araneae; Araneidae
Description: 12S ribosomal RNA
Source: RNAcentral
UUAUGCUCAGUACAGCUUUUUAGUAUAAAGAUUUAAAUAAAAAUUCGAUUAUUUUCAGAAAUUUAAAAUAUACAGCCACAUUAAAUAUGAUAAAAGUUGUAAAUCAAUUCAUUAACUAAAUAUAGUGCCAGCAGUUGCGGUUAGACUAUAAAUGAAAUUAUACAUUUAUUUUCUUAAUUUAAAAAUCUUUUUAUAAUAAAAAAUAUUAAGUGAAAUUUUAUUUUUCAUUUAAAUAAAUAUCCAAUAUAGAAAAAAUUAAAAACUUAAAAUAGGAUUAGAUACCCUAUUAUAUUUUAAUAAUUUUUAGGUAGUAUUACAAUUUUAAGAAAACCUAUGUAGUUUGGCGGCAUUUUAUCAACUUAGAGGAACCUGUCUUUUAAUCGAUACCCCACGAUACUUUUUACUUCUAUUCAUAUCUUAUAUACCUCCAUCUUCAGGGUUAAUAUUUAUAUUCUCCCCAGAAUAAAAAUUUAAUAAGUUAGGUAAAGGUGUAGACUAUAUAGAAGAUAAGAUGGGUUACAAUAAAUUUCUAUUUAAGAAUAGAAAAUCAAAAUUUUUAUUGAAAAAGGAUUUAUAAGUAAAUGAAGAACAAUAUUCUUCCUUGAAAUUGAUAAACAAUGUGCACAUAUCGCCCGUCACCCUUAUCUAAAGGUAAGGUAAGUCGUAACAUAGUUGAUGUUUUGGAAAAAGCAUCAAGA